AGCGAACGCUGGCGGCAGGCCUAACACAUGCAAGUCGAACGAACCUUUCGGGGUUAGUGGCGGACGGGUGAGUAACACGUGGGAACGUGCCUUUAGGUUCGGAAUAACUCAGGGAAACUUGUGCUAAUACCGAAUGUGCCCUUCGGGGGAAAGAUUUAUCGCCUUUAGAGCGGCCCGCGUCUGAUUAGCUAGUUGGUUGAGGUAAUGGCUCACCAAGGCGACGAUCAGUAGCUGGUCUGAGAGGAUGAUCAGCCACAUUGGGACUGAGACACGGCCCAAACUCCUACGGGAGGCAGCAGUGGGGAAUCUUGCGCAAUGGGCGAAAGCCUGACGCAGCCAUGCCGCGUGAAUGAUGAAGGUCUUAGGAUUGUAAAAUUCUUUCACCGGGGACGAUAAUGACGGUACCAGCAGAAGAAGCCCCGGCUAACUCCGUG
This 434-nucleotide ribosomal RNA is filed under the name uncultured bacterium. RNAcentral's name for it is "partial 16S ribosomal RNA". It matches the Rfam family "Bacterial small subunit ribosomal RNA", at positions 29 to 507 of the family's 1533-position model. The record is from RNAcentral.